AAGAAACAUGGUAACGUUUGCUGGCUAAAGGUGUUAGACUAGCGACCAAAACCUACAACAUGUUUGCCAGUAUCACUCGUUAUCUCACAAUAGUAUAAUCAUAAAAUAAUCAUAGAAGACAUGACAAAGACAAUGACUGGUAUAAGGAUUUAUAUUCAUUUAAGAGAGGAAACAGUGACCAGACACAUCGGCAGGUUGUCAAAACUUUGUCUGGUCUGAGGAAUAAGCGGGUGUACAUAAUGGAUGGAUGGAUGGAUUGUGCCUCUUGUGGAUCGUGACCACAACAGGAGGUACACAAAAGGCCUAACAAACAGCUGGCAUUUACUCUAUAAAGACAAUUGGUGCUGUAAACAACACUGAAGUGCUACCUUUGUCGACGUCUAAAAAAAAAAAUCUGCCUGAAUUUGUGGAGUGCUGCAUCAGAACAUAAAGUUUUCACACUGGUGUGGGCUCAUAAAUGAACGAAAUAUGACAACAACAAGGAAAUGGACAAGUUGUACACUCGGGCACCUGGAACAUCCACCUUCAGCCUUCAUCAUGGAUCCAAGUGAAAAGAAACUUUGAGCACAGUGCUGACACUGGCGGACAGCGCGUGUCGUAUGGCACCAGAACCUGCCGACAGGUACAGCGAUGAAACCUUGAAACCGAGAAGGUCUAUUGAUGGAGACGACUGUCUGUCUGAGGCAAGGGGGUUUUUUUUUUGUCUGCUCUACUGCAAAGACCUUGAGGAUAUAUUUGGCAGAAAGGAACAGGAAGCAUAGAGCAAUGGUGUUUGAGCCCCGAGCAGAACAGCAAGAGAGGAGUUUAAGAGUAUAAAUUGUCAAAGGAAGUGGUACAAAUUGGAGCUAGGGGUUCUUCUCAGGCCAACAGAAAUGGACACUUAUGACCACACAGCCUAAGCACUCAGAGCCCAGCACUGGGGCAUAAAUAUCAAAUGAAUAAGUAAUUUGUAGGUUUGAAUGACCCUUCAAGCGAUUAACAAAGAUAUGAAAGGAGGUUUAAUAACCAGUCUGAGCUGUCCAUGGUCAUAACUGGCAUCUUGGCAACAAUAUGUUAUCUUUGAAAACACUCCUUCUGAAACAGCCAAUGAAAAAAAUAAAGACUAUGGCUAAUAUUAGCAGAAGGCUAUCACUGGGGAGUCUGAACGUGCAUAACUGCCCAACUGUACAGCCUGGGAAAGUAUCUAGUUUGCCAAAAAAAAGAAAAAACCAUGUCCUUUUCUCCUGGUGUUCAUUAUCUGUGCCAGAACUUGACAUUCACCGAUGCCUGUUCCGCCAUGGAAUUGAAAGGGGACGUCCACUUUUGCAGGACACGUCUUGACUGGUACAAGGUUGGCGUGGAAACAAAUUUGAGCUGCGUUAGGAUAAGAAUCGCGAGCCUUCCUCUGACCAUCGUGUUGUGCCGUCAGGGAGAGCAAUCUUCCUCCGCCUCUCCCGUUGGUCAGCUGAACCUGUGCUUUCACCUGCCACCCACACUUUAAGCCUGACUAGACAGCUUCCUGCAGGCGGACUGUAAGAGGAGACAGCGUAUAGAUCCCCCUGUAGAUUUAAAUAUUAAUGCCUGCCAGAGGCGCCUGUUGACCCUUUCUCUUUCCCUUUCUCACUUUCCCCGAUGUCCAACCUGCUACCUAACAAUACCCGACCUCCCUGGACAAGUGACCUCUAAGGGAGGUCAGGGGUUGGGAAAAUGUGCAGGACUACUGAAAUGUCCGAAGAGACGCAUGCACACCAACACGAUAGCUCAAGGUGCAGAGUCAAAAGAGUUGAAACUCUGAAAAGAAUGAGACUUGCACGCUUGAUAUAAUGCUCCCAAAUGAAAGUUUUAAUCCAGCAAGAGUAUGUUGGAUACAUGAUCACUGUUGCUAAAACGUUACGCUUUUAAAUGUUCUAUUAUUUUAAAGAAAAUUGAUACUUUUAUCUGCAUGCCUGUGAUUGGGGAAAUUCACCCAGGUCCAACACAUAUCUGGUGAGGGGAAACUGUCUACCUGGAGAGUCCAUUUUACUUUCAGAUAUCCAUCGGAUGUUCCUGUCAACGAAUGGCAGCAACAAACUGGCUGCAGAUGCCCUAUAUGUUUUCUAACCCGUAAUGCGUGUGAACAGGAAUCCCGGCAGCACAGAGACCAGACCCUUGCAUCCCGUUAAUGCGCUUACAGCACUGUGACGCGGCGGCAGUUGUGGCUCAUAGUGGCUCGUGCAUUAUGGGAAACCCGCGCAUCCCCGUCACUCAGGGGGACGUUCUCCUGUGUAAGCGCUGCGGCAGCCAUGUUGGGAUGCUGGCUACACCCCAGGGGUGUUAAACCACAGGGUGAAAAGAGGAAGGAGAGGACGGAAACAAGCCUGCGAUCGCACGCCGCGUCUCUCUAUGCUGGGCACCGGCUGGAUCGCGGUUGCGGGCCGAAUGUAAACGAGGUGGCGCUGCACGUUUCUCACCCGGAAAAAUCCGGGGAUGGAGCCGGGCACCGAGGAACGGUCGGUCGGUCGGUCGGGGCGGAAGCUUCCGGAAAGGGGGCGAGCGCUGGAGCGGCGGCGCAGGAAGCGGCGACCUCGUUUUUGCCGACGGCUCCAAACCCCGGAGCAGGGAUUCCCGCCUCCUGGCGCCACGGGAUAAUCUGCGAACAUCUGGGCGGGCUGGCGGGCUGAUCGCCGUCCCCAUGGCAACCUGCCCUCUCCUCUUUUUUUAAACGGCGGAACACGCUGUGUGCUACCCCGCGGCCUAAUCGCGGUCGGGGUGGAGCGGUCCUCAACCCCAAAGGAGAGGAAAGGAACGUCUUCAGCCGCAGAACAGGGGGGGGGAGGGGGGGGGCUGUGACGGCCUUUUUAAAAAUAGGCGCAGGAUGAUGAAAGGUGGCCGUGCUCUUUCCUCCUCGGCCUCUCCUUCCUGCCGUAAUCUGUGUUUCUAUCUCAGGGGCGGCUAAUAACUUAAAUGAUCUGCCUACACACAGGAGAGGAAGCGAACGGCUCGCCUGUCCUCGGCGCUGUCGAAUAAAGCAGCGGUGCGUCGUCCCUUUUUAUCUCACAUAAGCUUUUCUGAUGUGUACCGUCCAGGAGGCUUGGUAAAGCCAGCAAAACAACUGAUUAAGUUACAG
Anguilla rostrata (American eel) is the source of this 3085-nucleotide long non-coding RNA. RefSeq lists it as uncharacterized. The transcript is spliced from 4 exons. The record is from RefSeq and is a predicted model, not a curated record. NCBI's taxonomy places the organism in Eukaryota, Metazoa, Chordata, Actinopteri, Anguilliformes, Anguillidae.